Molecule: unclassified non-coding RNA, 219 nt
Filed under: Hevea brasiliensis (rubber tree)
Lineage: Eukaryota; Viridiplantae; Streptophyta; Magnoliopsida; Malpighiales; Euphorbiaceae
Source: RNAcentral
GUUGAAUCUUCCUGCAUUCUGUCAAAGUGAAGAUUUUUGGGUCUUUUCUGGGUUAUUUUUUCUCUGCAUUUUAUGUUUGAAGCUUGGUCGCAUUAACACCUCCUCAAUUAUACAUAUAUGUAGAGAGAAGGGUAGAUAGAUUGGGGGAUUUUUCUUUAUUGAAGGUAAUUUUUGAGUUUGGAGGUUUGCAAAAUGGAGGCAAAAUCCAAAAAUGGCAAG